This 439-nucleotide ribosomal RNA is filed under the name uncultured bacterium. RNAcentral describes it as "partial 16S ribosomal RNA". It matches the Rfam family "Bacterial small subunit ribosomal RNA", at positions 338 to 795 of the family's 1533-position model. The record is from RNAcentral.
CCUACGGGAGGCAGCAGUGGGGGAUAUUGCACAAUGGGGGAAACCCUGAUGCAGCGACGCCGCGUGGGUGAAGAAGCGCCUCGGCGCGUAAAGCCCUGUCAGCAGGGAAGAAAAUGACGGUACCUGAAGAAGAAGCCCCGGCUAACUACGUGCCAGCAGCCGCGGUAAUACGUAGGGGGCAAGCGUUAUUCGGAUUUACUGGGUGUAAAGGGGGCGCAGACGGCGAUGCAAGCCAGGAGUGAAAGCCCGGGCCCAACCCCGGGAGUGCUCUUGGAACUGCGUGGCUAGAGUGCAGGAGGGGCAGGCGGAAUUCCUGGUGUAGCGGUGAAAUGCGUAGAUAUCAGGAGGAACACCGGUGGCGAAGGCGGCCUGCUGGACUGCAACUGACGUUGAGGCCCGAAAGCGUGGGGAGCAAACAGGAUUAGAUACCCGAGUAGUC